Molecule: ribosomal RNA, 445 nt
Filed under: uncultured bacterium
Lineage: Bacteria
Description: partial 16S ribosomal RNA
Rfam family: Bacterial small subunit ribosomal RNA
Source: RNAcentral
GUGAGGAAUAUUGCGCAAUGGAGGCAACUCUGACGCAGCCAUGCCGCGUGCAGGAAGAAGGCGCUACGCGUUGUAAACUGCUUUUAACCGGGAAGAAACCCCAGGACGUGUCCUGGGUUGACGGUACCGGAGGAAUAAGCACCGGCUAACUUCGUGCCAGCAGCCGCGGUAAUACGAAGGGUGCAAGCGUUAUCCGGAUUCAUUGGGUUUAAAGGGUGCGUAGGCGGAGCGUUAAGUCAGUGGUGAAAUCCUGCAGCUUAACUGUAGACUUGCCAUUGAUACUGGCGCGCUUGAGUGCGCUAGAAGUGGGCGGAAUGUGCCGUGUAGCGGUGAAAUGCUUAGAUAUGGCACAGAACACCAAUUGCGAAGGCAGCUCACUAAGGCGAUACUGACGCUGAGGCACGAAAGCGUGGGGAUCGAACAGGAUUAGAAACCCCUGUAGUCC